Molecule: ribosomal RNA, 451 nt
Filed under: uncultured bacterium
Lineage: Bacteria
Description: partial 16S ribosomal RNA
Rfam family: Bacterial small subunit ribosomal RNA
Source: RNAcentral
GUGGGGAAUAUUGGACAAUGGGGGGAACCCUGAUCCAGCCAUGCCGCGUGUGUGAAGAAGGCCUUUUGGUUGUAAAGCACUUUAAGCGAGGAGGAGGCUACCGAGAUUAAUACUCUUGGAUAGUGGACGUUACUCGCAGAAUAAGCACCGGCUAACUCUGUGCCAGCAGCCGCGGUAAUACAGAGGGUGCAAGCGUUAAUCGGAUUUACUGGGCGUAAAGCGCGCGUAGGUGGCCAAUUAAGUCAAAUGUGAAAUCCCCGAGCUUAACUUGGGAAUUGCAUUCGAUACUGGUUGGCUAGAGUAUGGGAGAGGAUGGUAGAAUUCCAGGUGUAGCGGUGAAAUGCGUAGAGAUCUGGAGGAAUACCGAUGGCGAAGGCAGCCAUCUGGCCAAAUACUGACACUGAGGUGCGAAAGCAUGGGGAGCAAACAGGAUUAGAUACCCUUGUAGUCC